Molecule: long non-coding RNA, 605 nt
Organism: Rhipicephalus sanguineus (brown dog tick)
Lineage: Eukaryota; Metazoa; Arthropoda; Arachnida; Ixodida; Ixodidae
Exons: 2
Source: RefSeq, a predicted model, not a curated record
GCAAAUAUAAACAGGAGCCCCAAGUAGCGGUGUCCAUCGCCCAGAUUUGACGCAACCUGAGGUCCUCGCAUCACCAUUCUCGAGAAAACCUGUGUGCAGCAGCCAUGCUUGGAAUGAACAGCAAGUGUCUCGUGGUCGCCCUCUUGGUGGUGGCUGUGCUGUGCGGAAUGACCGCCGCCCAACGUGGAUACGGCAGUUCGGGAGGUUACGGAAAUUCCGGUGGCUACGGUAGUUCUGGUGGCUACGGUCGUGGCUCCGGAGGAAGCUACGGAGGCAGCCGCGGAAGUGGCUACGGCGGUUCCGGCAGUUACGGAGGCUCGCGCGGUUCUGGUGGCUACGGAGGCUCUCGCGGAUCCGGUAGCUACGGAGGAUCACGACGCUACUGAAUCUUUGUUCGCUGAUGUUAUUCGCAACCUGGACGCCAUUUGAAGAACAGUCUGCUGGUCACAGAAUGUCACGAAUGCGAAGAAACGAGAGACAACGCUUUGAAUUUGACUGAGGACGCCACCCACAGCACUUUGAUGUAAAACGACGAAUAUAAUGUCUUAAUGAUACCUCUCAUCACUUAUUACUUUAAUAAAGCAUGAUUCAAUUUGUUUUUCUAA